This 492-nucleotide ribosomal RNA is filed under the name uncultured bacterium. Its description in RNAcentral is "partial 16S ribosomal RNA". It matches the Rfam family "Bacterial small subunit ribosomal RNA", at positions 29 to 507 of the family's 1533-position model. The record is from RNAcentral.
AGUGAACGCUGGCGGUAGGCCUAACACAUGCAAGUCGAACGGCAGCACAGUAAGAGCUUGCUCUUACGGGUGGCGAGUGGCGGACGGGUGACGAAUACAUCGGAAUCUACUUUUUCGUGGGGGAUAACGUAGGGAAACUUACGCUAAUACCGCAUACGACCUACGGGUGAAAGCAGGGGAUCUUCGCACCUUGCGCGAUUGAAUUAGCCGAUGUCGGAUUAGCUAGUUGGCGGGGUAAAGUCCCACCAAGGCGACGAUCCGUAGCUGGUCUGAGAGGAUGAUCAGCCACACUGGAACUGAGACACGGUCCAGACUCCUACGGGAGGCAGCAGUGGGGAAUAUUGGACAAUGGGCGCAAGCCUGAUCCAGCCAUACCGCGUGGGUGAAGAAGGCCUUCGGGUUGUAAAGCCCUUUUGUUGGGAAAGAAAAGCAGCAGGUUAAUACCCCGCUGUUCUGACGGUACCCAAAGAAUAAGCACCGGCUAACUUCGUG